Molecule: transfer RNA, 83 nt
Filed under: Nocardia otitidiscaviarum
Lineage: Bacteria; Bacillati; Actinomycetota; Actinomycetes; Mycobacteriales; Nocardiaceae
Also listed under: 4 other names
Rfam family: tRNA
About the family: Transfer RNA (tRNA) molecules are approximately 80 nucleotides in length.
Source: Rfam by way of RNAcentral
GGGCGAGUGGCGGAAUGGCAGACGCGCUGGCUUCAGGUGCCAGUGUCCGCAAGGACGUGGGGGUUCAAGUCCCCCCUCGCCCA